RNAcentral lists this ribosomal RNA (253 nucleotides) under uncultured bacterium. RNAcentral describes it as "partial 16S ribosomal RNA". It matches the Rfam family "Bacterial small subunit ribosomal RNA", at positions 524 to 776 of the family's 1533-position model. The record is from RNAcentral.
GACGGAGGAGGCAAGCGUUAUCCGGAAUUAUUGGGCGUAAAGGGUACGUAGGCGGCUGGUCAAGUCUGGGGUCAAAGGCCACAGUUCAACUGUGGGAAGGCCCUGGAAACUGACCGGCUAGAGUGAGGUAGGGGUUGCGGGAAUUCCCGGUGUAGCGGUGAAAUGCGUAGAGAUCGGGAAGAACACCUGAGGCGGAAGCGCGCAACUCGGCCUCAACUGACGCUGAGGUACGAAAGCGAGGGGAGCGAAUGGG